CCUACGGGAGGCAGCAGUGAGGAAUAUUGGUCAAUGGACGAGAGUCUGAACCAGCCAAGUAGCGUGAAGGAUGACUGCCCUAUGGGCUGUAAACUUCUUUUAUAAAGGAAUAAAACGAGGCACGUGUGCCUUUAUGCACGUACUUUAUGAAUAAGGAUCGGCUAACUCCGUGCCAGCAGCCGCGGUAAUACGGAGGAUCCGAGCGUUAUCCGGAUUUAUUGGGUUUAAGGGGAGCGUAGAUGGGUUGUUAAGUCAGUUGUGAAAGUUUGCGGCUCAACCGUAAAAUUGCAAUUGAUACUGGCAGUCUUGAGUACAGUUGAGGUAGGCGGAAUUCGUGGUGUAGCGGUGAAAUGCGUAGAUAUCACGAAGAACCCCGAUUGCGAAGGCAGCUUACUAAACUGUGACUGACAUUGAUGCUCGAAAGUGUGGGUAUCAAACAGGAUUAGAUACCCGAGUAGUC
This 460-nucleotide ribosomal RNA is filed under the name uncultured bacterium. Its description in RNAcentral is "partial 16S ribosomal RNA". It matches the Rfam family "Bacterial small subunit ribosomal RNA", at positions 338 to 795 of the family's 1533-position model. The record is from RNAcentral.